Molecule: non-coding RNA, 89 nt
Organism: Paramarasmius palmivorus
Lineage: Eukaryota; Fungi; Basidiomycota; Agaricomycetes; Agaricales; Marasmiaceae
Source: the annotation of a GenBank genome assembly
GGCGCUACAGCCAAGUGGUUAGUUCAACGAACUUUGAGGCUGUUAUCUGUUCCUCUUUGAGGGCGCAGGUUUGAAUCCUGCUGGUGCCG